Molecule: transfer RNA, 72 nt
Filed under: Phrynosoma platyrhinos (Desert horned lizard)
Lineage: Eukaryota; Metazoa; Chordata; Lepidosauria; Squamata; Phrynosomatidae
Description: tRNA-OTHER
Rfam family: tRNA
About the family: Transfer RNA (tRNA) molecules are approximately 80 nucleotides in length. Their secondary structure includes four short double-helical elements and three loops (D, anti-codon, and T loops).
Source: RNAcentral
GCCAGCGUGGCGUAGUGGUUUGAGCAUUGGACUGUGACUCUGGAGGCCAGGGUUCGAAUCCCGGCUCUGCCA